GACAGAGGGUGCAAACGUUGUUCGGAAUUACUGGGCGUAAAGCGUGCGCAGGCGGUUUUGCAAGCCGGAUGUGAAAUCCCCGGGCUCAACCUGGGAAUGGCAUUCGGGACUGCAAGGCUGGAGUGCGGCAGAGGAGACUGGAAUUCCUGGUGUAGCAGUGAAAUGCGUAGAUAUCAGGAGGAAUACCGAUGGCGAAGGCAGGUCUCUGGGCUGACACUGACGCUCAUGCACGAAAGCGUGGGGAGCAAACAGG
Molecule: ribosomal RNA, 253 nt
Filed under: uncultured bacterium
Lineage: Bacteria
Description: partial 16S ribosomal RNA
Rfam family: Bacterial small subunit ribosomal RNA
Source: RNAcentral